Molecule: non-coding RNA, 884 nt
Organism: Arachis ipaensis
Lineage: Eukaryota; Viridiplantae; Streptophyta; Magnoliopsida; Fabales; Fabaceae
Source: RefSeq, a predicted model, not a curated record
UGAAGUCUGUGCUUCUUGACAUAUCUAUGAUCUAUUUAACUAUUUGUAUGCUAAUGUGAUAGUAAUUUGGAAAAAAUGGCAUCGAUCCAUGGCCAUUUUUAGUUUUGGAUUAUGAAGUUGUCUUUGCAAUUGGGUAUAAUGACUGACGUUUUUUAUUGAAUCAAGAUGAAGUAAUCAUCCCGUAUGAGGUAGGGUUUUGAAGAGAAUUUCAAAAAUCAUUCUUAAUGAAAGAAAAGAAAUAUUAAACCAAUUAGUCUUGAGUAUCAACUAGAAAGCUAAUGAUAAUAAUUUAGUUGGUGAGACUGCAGAGAAACUAUAAUUUGAAAAUAUGCAGGUUAAAGCUGUAUGAUAGUAUGGUUGAUCUUUGGCUGGAAUGGAAGACCUUAAUGUUUGCUGGAGCUGUUGGAUAUUCUCUUCGUUUUGUUGUAUAUGUUCCAUGCGAAGUGAUGAAGCAACGGAUGCAAGUGUAGAGAACAUAUUCAUCUUGGAGUUCUAUCGCCAUGAAUGAUGGCAUUGCAAUGAAUUCUAGCCCAAAACUGUAUGGUUAUUAGACAGGGAUGUUCUAUGCGGGCUGCUCAAUAUGGAGAACACAGGGUGUAAAGGGUUUAUAUGCAGGGUAUACUCUAGAAACACUCAAUUUCUCUUAUAUAACUUACAUAAUGACGCUAGAGGUCCUGUUUCAAAUUUGAUAGAUUUUUGGAUGAAGUAUUUUAUUCUAGGCAACAAUCAGGCAAUUAUUUUCAUGAUUCAAUUUUAUUAUUUUGUAAAUGUCAAUAGGUGUCAGUUGACACUGAGUGGGUAAACAGCAACUGGAGAUGUAAAAUGAGUCUAUGUGAUAUGAAUGUGUCAUAAUGGGAAAUCAAACUGUUCUGCUUUAUAUGAAA